GGGCCGCUAGCUCAAUUGGCAGAGCAGCUGACUCUUAAUCAGCGGGUUACUGGUUCAAGUCCAGUGCGGCUCACCA
This 76-nucleotide transfer RNA is filed under the name Chloroflexota bacterium. RNAcentral describes it as "tRNA-Lys". It matches the Rfam family "tRNA". From Rfam's summary of the family: Transfer RNA (tRNA) molecules are approximately 80 nucleotides in length. Their secondary structure includes four short double-helical elements and three loops (D, anti-codon, and T loops). The record is from RNAcentral. Lineage: Bacteria; Bacillati; Chloroflexota. RNAcentral also lists the same sequence under 1 other name.